RNAcentral lists this ribosomal RNA (486 nucleotides) under uncultured bacterium. RNAcentral's name for it is "partial 16S ribosomal RNA". It matches the Rfam family "Bacterial small subunit ribosomal RNA", at positions 30 to 507 of the family's 1533-position model. The record is from RNAcentral.
AUUGAACGCUGGCGGCAUGCCUUACACAUGCAAGUCGAACGGCAGCACGGGUGCUUGCACCUGGUGGCGAGUGGCGAACGGGUGAGUAAUACAUCGGAACAUGUCCUGUAGUGGGGGAUAGCCCGGCGAAAGCCGGAUUAAUACCGCAUACGAUCCACGGAUGAAAGCGGGGGACCUUCGGGCCUCGCGCUAUAGGGUUGGCCGAUGGCUGAUUAGCUAGUUUGUGGGGUAAAGGCCUACCAAGGCGACGAUCAGUAGCUGGUCUGAGAGGACGACCAGCCACACUGGGACUGAGACACGGCCCAGACUCCUACGGGAGGCAGCAGUGGGGAAUUUUGGACAAUGGGCGAAAGCCUGAUCCAGCAAUGCCGCGUGUGUGAAGAAGGCCUUCGGGUUGUAAAGCACUUUUGUCCGGAAAGAAAUCCUUGACUCUAAUACAGUCGGGGGAUGACGGUACCGGAAGAAUAAGCACCGGCUAACUACGUG